UCAGUGCCGCAAACUAUGAAAAUAACCAGAAGGUAUCAAGCCGUUGAUCAAGCGGGAAGCCAUUGGACGCAAAACCCACAAUCGAAUCCUGUAAGCAUUGCAGCAAAAGCAUUAAUUGAGGUCCUACGCCCGCAUUCCUUAAGUUGUUAGGGUCGCAAUUAUGACUGCCAUUCUUAAUUAUAUGUUGGGAAAACGAAGAAAGAAAGAUAACAGCACCAUCACCCACCAUUAUGCUCCUCACAUGGAUGGACAUACUGUCCUUGUUGUACAGUUCCGGUUGUACAGUUCCGUUCGCGCCAAACGCAGUCCAUUGAAGAAAUCAUCCUUUAGUGAUGGGUACUCUUACCAUAUUGUCCAUUGUGUGUGGGGUUUCUCUUGGCUUUUCCCCAAUCUCAACACCCUUUAUGCACCAUCAUCAUCCCCUACUGUGCAUGUCUAUGUAAUAAUCGUUCCUGCUAUGGGUAUGUCUGGCUAGGUUUGGUAAGAAAGUCCGGGCUAUCCUUGCAUGUGAGGCUCAAAGCGAAGAGAGAGAGAGAGAGAGAGAGAGAGAGAUGCCUCCAUGUGAAAAGUACAACUUGUUUUCUCAAAUUAAUUGGCAUGGACAUGUCUCCCCCACAGAUGGCCUCUACGUCGCAUGUGUAUCCCAAUAUGCUCACGUUCUCAGACCAUCAUGGUUACCCCCCGGUAGGUUGACACAGGGGCCCAUGCAAGAGAGAGAGAGAGAGAGAGAGAGUACAUAUUUCUAGCUAGAAAGAUGCAUGGCAAGUACCAUCACCAGGGUUUUAGGGCAGUAAGUACCAAAGUCUCGUAGUUUUUCAAGAUGACUUGCUCCGAGGCC
This 838-nucleotide long non-coding RNA is filed under the name Elaeis guineensis (African oil palm). Its description in RNAcentral is "long non-coding RNA (EGUI_LNC016112)". The record is from RNAcentral. Lineage: Eukaryota; Viridiplantae; Streptophyta; Magnoliopsida; Arecales; Arecaceae.